UACGUAGGUGGCAAGCGUUGUCCGGAAUUACUGGGCGUAAAGGGUGCGUAGGCGGAUAUUUAAGUGGGAUGUGAAAUACCUGAGCUCAACUCGGGUGCUGCAUUCCAAACUGGAUAUCUAGAGUGCAGGAGAGGAGAAUGGAAUUCCUAGUGUAGCGGUGAAAUGCGUAGAGAUUAGGAAGAACACCAGUGGCGAAGGCGAUUCUCUGGACUGUAACUGACGCUGAGGCACGAAAGCGUGGGUAGCAAAC
RNAcentral lists this ribosomal RNA (250 nucleotides) under uncultured bacterium. Its description in RNAcentral is "partial 16S ribosomal RNA". It matches the Rfam family "Bacterial small subunit ribosomal RNA", at positions 524 to 773 of the family's 1533-position model. The record is from RNAcentral.